Molecule: non-coding RNA, 21 nt
Organism: Caenorhabditis elegans
Lineage: Eukaryota; Metazoa; Nematoda; Chromadorea; Rhabditida; Rhabditidae
Source: Ensembl
UAAUUCUAAUGGGUUUUUGCA